Molecule: ribosomal RNA, 1346 nt
Filed under: uncultured bacterium
Lineage: Bacteria
Description: partial 16S ribosomal RNA
Rfam family: Bacterial small subunit ribosomal RNA
Source: RNAcentral
GACGAACGCUGGCGGCGUGCUUAACACAUGCAAGUCGAACGGAAAGGCCCUGCUUUUGUGGGGUGCUCGAGUGGCGAACGGGUGAGUAACACGUGAGUAACCUGCCCUUGACUUUGGGAUAACUUCAGGAAACUGGGGCUAAUACCGGAUAGGAGCUCCUGCUGCAUGGUGGGGGUUGGAAAGUUUCGGCGGUUGGGGAUGGACUCGCGGCUUAUCAGCUUGUUGGUGGGGUAGUGGCUUACCAAGGCUUUGACGGGUAGCCGGCCUGAGAGGGUGACCGGCCACAUUGGGACUGAGAUACGGCCCAGACUCCUACGGGAGGCAGCAGUGGGGAAUAUUGCACAAUGGGCGGAAGCCUGAUGCAGCAACGCCGCGUGCGGGAUGACGGCCUUCGGGUUGUAAACCGCUUUCGCCUGUGACGAAGCGUGAGUGACGGUAAUGGGUAAAGAAGCACCGGCUAACUACGUGCCAGCAGCCGCGGUGAUACGUAGGGUGCGAGCGUUGUCCGGAUUUAUUGGGCGUAAAGGGCUCGUAGGUGGUUGAUCGCGUCGGAAGUGUAAUCUUGGGGCUUAACCCUGAGCGUGCUUUCGAUACGGGUUGACUUGAGGAAGGUAGGGGAGAAUGGAAUUCCUAGUGGAGCGGUGGAAUGCGCAGAUAUCAGGAGGAACACCAGUGGCGAAGGCGGUUCUCUGGGCCUUUCCUGACGCUGAGGAGCGAAAGCGUGGGGAGCGAACAGGCUUAGAUACCCUGGUAGUCCACGCUGUAAACGGUGGGUACUAGGUGUGGGGUCCAUUCCACGGGUUCCGUGCCGUAGCUAACGCUUUAAGUACCCCGCCUGGGGAGUACGGCCGCGAGGCUAAAACUCAAAGGAAUUGACGGGGCCCCGCACAAGCGGCGGAGCAUGCGGAUUAAUUCGAUGCAACGCGUAGAACCUUACCUGGGUUUGACAUGGAUCGGGAGUGCUCAGAGAUGGGUGUGCCUCUUUUGGGGUCGGUUCACAGGUGGUGCAUGGCUGUCGUCAGCUCGUGUCGUGAGAUGUUGGGUUAAGUCCCGCAACGAGCGCAACCCUUGUUCACUGUUGCCAGCACGUUAUGGUGGGGACUCAGUGGAGACCGCCGGGGUCAACUCGGAGGAAGGUGGGGAUGACGUCAAGUCAUCAUGCCCCUUAUGUCCAGGGCUUCACGCAUGCUACAAUGGCUGGUACAGAGAGUGGCGAGCCUGUGAGGGUGAGCGAAUCUCGGAAAGCCGGUCUCAGUUCGGAUUGGGGUCUGCAACUCGACCUCAUGAAGUCGGAGUCGCUAGUAAUCGCAGAUCAGCAACGCUGCGGUGAAUACGUUCCCGGGGCU